Molecule: transfer RNA, 72 nt
Organism: Selaginella moellendorffii
Lineage: Eukaryota; Viridiplantae; Streptophyta; Lycopodiopsida; Selaginellales; Selaginellaceae
Rfam family: tRNA
About the family: Transfer RNA (tRNA) molecules are approximately 80 nucleotides in length. Their secondary structure includes four short double-helical elements and three loops (D, anti-codon, and T loops).
Source: Rfam
AUCAGAGUGGCGCAGCGGAAGCGUAUUGGGCCCAUAACCCAAGGGUCGGAGGAUCGAAACCUCUCUCUGAUA